UACGUAGGGCGCAAGCGUUGUCCGGAAUCAUUGGGCGUAAAGCGCGUGUAGGCGGUCCGGUAAGUCCGCUGUGAAAGUCGGGGGCUCAACCCUCGAAUGCCGGUGGAAACUGUCGGGCUAGAGUACGGAAGAGGCGAGUGGAAUUCCUGGUGUAGCGGUGAAAUGCGCAGAUAUCAGGAGGAACACCAAUUGCGAAGGCAGCUCGCUGGGACGUUACUGACGCUGAGACGCGAAAGCGUGGGGAGCAAACAGG
Molecule: ribosomal RNA, 253 nt
Filed under: uncultured bacterium
Lineage: Bacteria
Description: partial 16S ribosomal RNA
Rfam family: Bacterial small subunit ribosomal RNA
Source: RNAcentral